AAAGAAACUGGGAUUAGAUACCCCACUAUGCCCAACCGUAAACCUUAAUUUACACUCAAAUCGCCAGGGAACUACGAGCAAAGCUUAAAACCCAAAGGACUUGACGGUACCCCAUAUCCACCUAGAGGAGCCUGUCCUAUAAUCGAUAAUCCACGUUUAACCUCACCACUUUUAGCCUAUCAGCCUGUAUACCUCCGUCGUCAGCUUACCACGUGAGCGACCAUAGUGAGCUCAAUGUCCACCCACCAAAACGUCAGGUCAAGGUGCAGCUUAUAAAAUGGGAAGAGAUGGGCUACACUCUCUAAUCUAGAGAACACGAAAGACUACUUAUGAAACCUAGUCGGAAGGCGGAUUUAGAAGUAAAAGGGGACAAGAAGGCCCCUUUUAACCAGGCACUGGGGUGUGUACACACCGCCCGUCACCCUCUUCGAAGCCAAUAAAACAGUAUUUAACUCACCUAAGCAAAAUAGAAGAGGCAAGUCGUAACAUGGUAAGUAUACCGGAAGGUGUGCUUGGAAA
This 519-nucleotide ribosomal RNA is filed under the name Scinax cardosoi. Its description in RNAcentral is "partial 12S small subunit ribosomal RNA". It matches the Rfam family "Bacterial small subunit ribosomal RNA", at positions 765 to 1522 of the family's 1533-position model. The record is from RNAcentral. Lineage: Eukaryota; Metazoa; Chordata; Amphibia; Anura; Hylidae.